Molecule: long non-coding RNA, 443 nt
Organism: Gavialis gangeticus (Gharial)
Lineage: Eukaryota; Metazoa; Chordata; Crocodylia; Gavialidae
Exons: 3
Source: RefSeq, a predicted model, not a curated record
UGCUUUGGGAGGGAGGAGGCCUCAGAGUCCUUAAAAUGAAAAUUUUCUUUGUGUUGAUCAUAUCUAUUCCUGUCCAGUUUUUCAUCAACUGCUGUGUUGACACACAGAACGAGUGUUGGAACACUGGCUGGCUUAAGAUACUUUAAAAUCCAGGGUCCACAAUAAUUUACACAUGGAAAGGAAAGCAGCUGAAUCUAUCUUUCAUAUAAUUCAACUCACAGAUACUGCUUCUUGAGUAAAAUCAGAACCACUGAAAAAUGUUAAGGCUCUUUCAUUAACCAACUCACCAAAUUAACCCCUUUCACCUUUCCUAGACAAAUGCUUGAAGCAGUAUCCUUGCAUAUAAUUAUAAUUUCUCUGCAUUUAUAUAACUUGCUCCAGACCCUUCCAGUUCUUUUAGGCCACAUCUGAUGAAGGAAAACAUUAAAGUGAUUUAUACUGAA